Molecule: ribosomal RNA, 664 nt
Filed under: Salmonella enterica
Lineage: Bacteria; Pseudomonadati; Pseudomonadota; Gammaproteobacteria; Enterobacterales; Enterobacteriaceae
Description: partial 23S ribosomal RNA
Source: RNAcentral
AGCGUCUGGAAAGGCGCGCGAUACAGGGUGACAGCCCCGUACACAAAAGCGCAUGUGCUGUGAGCUCGAUGAGUAGGGCGGGACACGUGGUAUCCUGUCUGAAUAUGGGGGGACCAUCCUCCAAGGCUAAAUACUCCUGACUGACCGAUAGUGAACCAGUACCGUGAGGGAAAGGCGAAAAGAACCCCGGCGAGGGGAGUGAAAAAGAACCUGAAACCGUGUACGUACAAGCAGUGGGAGCCCCACCACUAAGCCAGUGGUGAACUCCACAUACGCAUCCUUUGCUGAGGAUACGGUUAACGGAGCGAAAGCGACGUUCAACCUCAAAAGAAGCAGAGGGGGCUUAGUGGUGGGGUGACUGCGUACCUUUUGUAUAAUGGGUCAGCGACUUAUAUUCUGUAGCAAGGUUAACCGWAUAGGGGAGCCGGAGGGAAACCGAGUCUUAACCGGGCGUUAAGUUGCAGGGUAUAGACCCGAAACCCGGUGAUCUAGCCAUGGGCAGGUUGAAGGUUGGGUAACACUAACUGGAGGACCGAACCGACUAAUGUUGAAAAAUUAGCGGAUGACCUGUGGCUGGGGGUGAAAGGCCAAUCAAACCGGGAGAUAGCUGGUUCUCCCCGAAAGCUAUUUAGGUAGCGCCUCGUGAAUUCAUCUCCGGGGGUAG